AACUCUCAACCUUCAACUUUUUUAAUAAGGCUGAAGGCUUGGACUUGGGCGCUGCUGGUUUUUACUAACCGGCUCGCCUGAAAUGAAUUAGCAGAUCCUUUUUGUAAUCGGUUCCACUCGACGUGAUAAGUAUUUCGCCGAGGACAUACGAAAGUAUGGCCGAGAUAAAUAAAGUCUUUAGAUCCGCUUCUAAUUCUUAGAUAGAGCUUGCUCUACUAAACCCCAUUUUAUG
Molecule: unclassified non-coding RNA, 232 nt
Filed under: Mrakia blollopis
Lineage: Eukaryota; Fungi; Basidiomycota; Tremellomycetes; Cystofilobasidiales; Mrakiaceae
Description: partial internal transcribed spacer 2
Source: RNAcentral